RNAcentral lists this ribosomal RNA (140 nucleotides) under uncultured bacterium. RNAcentral's name for it is "partial 16S rRNA". It matches the Rfam family "Bacterial small subunit ribosomal RNA", at positions 355 to 512 of the family's 1533-position model. The record is from RNAcentral.
UGGGGAAUAUUGGACAAUGGGCGAAAGCCUGAUCCAGCAAUGCCGCGUGUGUGAAGAAGGUCUUCGGAUUGUAAAGCACUUUCGACGGGGACGAUGAUGACGGUACCCGUAGAAGAAGCCCCGGCUAACUUCGUGCCUAG